Molecule: transfer RNA, 91 nt
Filed under: Nitrospinota bacterium
Lineage: Bacteria; Pseudomonadati; Nitrospinota
Description: tRNA-Ser
Rfam family: tRNA
About the family: Transfer RNA (tRNA) molecules are approximately 80 nucleotides in length. Their secondary structure includes four short double-helical elements and three loops (D, anti-codon, and T loops).
Source: RNAcentral
GGAGAGAUGGCCGAGUUGGCUGAAGGCGUUGGUCUCGAAAACCAAUGUGCGGGAAACCGUACCGGGGGUUCGAAUCCCUCUCUCUCCGCCA